This 65-nucleotide transfer RNA is filed under the name Heterocephalus glaber (naked mole-rat). It matches the Rfam family "tRNA". From Rfam's summary of the family: Transfer RNA (tRNA) molecules are approximately 80 nucleotides in length. Their secondary structure includes four short double-helical elements and three loops (D, anti-codon, and T loops). The record is from Rfam by way of RNAcentral. Lineage: Eukaryota; Metazoa; Chordata; Mammalia; Rodentia; Bathyergidae.
GGUGUAGCUCAGUGUUAGAGCACUUGCCUAGCACACACAAAGCCCUGGGUUUGAUCCCCAGCACC